Podarcis lilfordi (Lilford's wall lizard) is the source of this 94-nucleotide non-coding RNA. The record is from the annotation of a GenBank genome assembly. NCBI's taxonomy places the organism in Eukaryota, Metazoa, Chordata, Lepidosauria, Squamata, Lacertidae.
CUCCAAAUGUUGCUGAACUGCAACUCCCAUCAGCCUCAGCAACCAUGACCAGGGACCAGGAAUGAUGGAAGUUGCAGUUCAGCAAUAUUUGGAG